GAUGAACGCUGGCGGCGUGCCUAAUACAUGCAAGUCGAGCGAACAGACGAGGAGCUUGCUCCUUCGACGUUAGCGGCGGACGGGUGAGUAACACGUAGGUAACCUACCUAUAAGACUGGGAUAACUUCGGGAAACCGGAGCUAAUACCGGAUAAUAUUUCGAACCGCAUGGUUCGAUAGUGAAAGAUGGCUUUGCUAUCACUUAUAGAUGGACCUGCGCCGUAUUAGCUAGUUGGUAAGGUAACGGCUUACCAAGGCAACGAUACGUAGCCGACCUGAGAGGGUGAUCGCCCACACUGAAACUGAGACACGGUCCAGACUCAUACGGGAGGCAGCAGUAGGGAAUCUUCCGCAAGGGGCGAAAGCCUGACGGAGAAACGCCGCGUGAGUGAUGAAGGUCUUCGGAGCGUAAAACUCUGUUAUUAGGGAAGAACAAACGUGUAAGUAACUGUGCACGUCGUGACGGUACCUAAUCAGAAAGCCACGGCUAACUACG
RNAcentral lists this ribosomal RNA (495 nucleotides) under uncultured bacterium. RNAcentral describes it as "partial 16S ribosomal RNA". It matches the Rfam family "Bacterial small subunit ribosomal RNA", at positions 28 to 505 of the family's 1533-position model. The record is from RNAcentral.